Long non-coding RNA from Etheostoma spectabile (orangethroat darter), 133 nucleotides. RefSeq lists it as uncharacterized. The transcript has 3 exons. The record is from RefSeq and is a predicted model, not a curated record. NCBI's taxonomy places the organism in Eukaryota, Metazoa, Chordata, Actinopteri, Perciformes, Percidae.
UUACUCUGGCAUCGAGUAAUGCUGCUCAUUAACUAUGCCCUUGUAGCCGAGCUGCACCAAUCACAUCGGUGUAUCUGAUAUGGGCGGGCCAGAGGUGAGCUAAACAGAGGACGACAGUGCUGCAAUAUCAAAG